Non-coding RNA from Drosophila melanogaster (fruit fly), 533 nucleotides. Lineage: Eukaryota; Metazoa; Arthropoda; Insecta; Diptera; Drosophilidae. The record is from Ensembl.
GCAAACAAAUGUUAAUAAAUAGGAACAUUUUGUUCCGAACAUAUCAAAAAAUAUUACAUAAUAGUUCCAAAGAGCAUAGUUUUUGGCUAAUUCUAGCCAUUUCCAAUUGGCAACACUGCCUCCCAAACGGUAGGCCCUUCUCGGUGUGGUAUUCCCAACUUGUUAUUGAUGUUGGCAGCGGGGGGGGGCUCGAUGUCUUCCCGCUCCCGAAUCUUUCCCACAGGUGCACCGCCGCCCCACCCGAUAAACUUGCCCUCCGGCUGAGAGCUGACAAUUGAUGCCAAGGAUAUGCCGUCCAAAUCACGCGCUAAACAUUAUUUUAAUGUCCCCAGGCAGUCACAUAUGUACAUAUAUGCGAGUCGGCAGCUUUUCCCUCUGUAUUUCACAUGCGUGGAUUUUCCGGGAAUGUUUAAAGCCCUGCCAACUUAUUUCCCGGAAUUUGCGUGUGCGUUAAGAGGACUCUUGGGAACAACCAUGAUGCCCGAAUCGAAGGAGGUCGCGUCCUUGAAGGAUUUGCCAUUUUAGUUUCUGGG